Molecule: ribosomal RNA, 977 nt
Filed under: Bacteroidetes bacterium HGW-Bacteroidetes-6
Lineage: Bacteria; Pseudomonadati; Bacteroidota
Description: bacterial SSU rRNA
Rfam family: Bacterial small subunit ribosomal RNA
Source: RNAcentral
UACUAUGGAGAGUUUGAUCCUGGCUCAGGAUGAACGCUAGCGGCAGGCUUAAUACAUGCAAGUCGAGGGGCAGCGCGGAUAGCAAUAUCUGGCGGCGACCGGCGCACGGGUGCGUAACGCGUAUGUAAUCUACCUAUAACUGGGAAAUAGCCCCGAGAAAUCGGGAUUAAUGUCCCAUAGUAUUGAGAGGUGGCAUCACCAUUCAAUUAAAGAUUUAUUGGUUAUAGAUGAGCAUGCGUGCCAUUAGUUUGUUGGUGAGGUAAUGGCUCACCAAGACUACGAUGGCUAGGGGUUCUGAGAGGAUGAUCCCCCACACUGGUACUGAGACACGGACCAGACUCCUACGGGAGGCAGCAGUAAGGAAUAUUGGGCAAUGGGCGCAAGCCUGACCCAGCCAUGCCGCGUGAAGGAUGACAGCCCUCGUGGUUGUAAACUUCUUUUAUACGGGAAUAACCCUCCGAACGUGUUCGGAGCUGAAGGUACCGUAAGAAUAAGGAUCGGCUAACUCCGUGCCAGCAGCCGCGGUAAUACGGAGGAUCCAAGCGUUAUCCGGAUUUACUGGGUUUAAAGGGUGCGUAGGCGGAUUGAUAAGUCAGUGGUGAAAGCCCGCAGCUCAACUGCGGAACUGCCAUUGAUACUGCCAGUCUGGAGUGUGGUUGAGGUAGCUGGAAUGUGUCAUGUAGCGGUGAAAUGCUUAGAGAUGACACAGAACACCGAUUGCGAAGGCAGGUUACCAAGCCAUUACUGACGCUGAGGCACGAAAGCGUGGGGAUCAAACAGGAUUAGAUACCCUGGUAGUCCACGCCGUAAACUAUGAUUACUCGUUGUUGGCAAUAUACUGUCAGUGACUGAGCGAAAGCAUUAAGUAAUCCACCUGGGGAGUACGUUCGCAAGAAUGAAACUCAAAGGAAUUGACGGGGGCCCGCACAAGCGGAGGAGCAUGUGGUUUAAUUCGAUGAUACGCGAGGAACCUUACC